This 497-nucleotide ribosomal RNA is filed under the name uncultured bacterium. Its description in RNAcentral is "partial 16S ribosomal RNA". It matches the Rfam family "Bacterial small subunit ribosomal RNA", at positions 28 to 507 of the family's 1533-position model. The record is from RNAcentral.
GAUGAACGCUGGCGGCGUGCCUAAUACAUGCAAGUCGAGCGAACGGACGAGAAUCUUGCUUCUCUGAUGUUAGCGGCGGACGGGUGAGUAACACGUGGAUAACCUACCUAUAAGACUGGUAUAACUUCGGGAAACCGGAGCUAAUACCGGAUAAUAUUUUGAACCGCAUGGGUCAAAAGUAAAAUACGGUCUUGCUGUCACGUAUAGAGGGAUCCGCGCUGCAUUAGCUAGUUGGGAAGGUAACGGCUUACCAAGGCAACGAUGCAUAGCCGACCGGGGAGGGUGGUAGGCCACACGGGAACUGGGACAGCGUCCAGACUCCUACGGGAGGCACCAGUCGGCAACCUUACGCAAUAGGCGAGAGCAUGACGCAAUGAGCCCGCGCGAGUGAUGAAGGUCUUCGGAUCGUAAAAAUCUGUUAUUAGGGAAGAACAUAUGUGUAAGUAACUGUGCACAUAUUGACGGUAACUAAUCAGAAAGCCACGGCUAACUACGUG